Molecule: long non-coding RNA, 787 nt
Organism: Symphalangus syndactylus (siamang)
Lineage: Eukaryota; Metazoa; Chordata; Mammalia; Primates; Hylobatidae
Source: RefSeq, a predicted model, not a curated record
CGGAGCCGGGGUCGCAGCCAUGGUCCAAGCGUCUCUGCCCGUGAGCCCUAGCAGUGCCUUCCCCGCGCUGCUCUGGGCACCGAGAAACUGCUAGGGCAAGGGGGACGGACUUGGAAGCGCGCACCACCUUCCCCAGCUCCCGUUGCAAGUUCAAUCUUCGACCUCCGAGACGCCCGGUGAUUUCUGCUGGCACCUGCUGCCCUCGGCAUCACCUCCCUCAUCCCCCUGGAGGGCACGCUGGAAAGCUGCGACUCCCCACCCUCAGCACAGGAGCGCCCCGAAGACGCGCAGAUGGGCCCAGCCACCCAGCGGGACGGCAGCCGUGAACACACAAGUUUGGAGAGCGCGCGAGGCACCUGAAAGUGGUUGGGGUUUGGAAGCAAAAGGGUGACACCUGCUGUUCGCUGGGACCGCUCUGCGGGCGUGGGCGUCGGUUUGGAAACGGCCUUUGCCUGAGCUCUGCUUGGCUGUGUGCUCCAUUCUCAUUACUCUUCCUCAGUGGGUCUCAAUCCCGGCUGCACAUUGGAAUCACUUGGAAAGCUUUAAAAAUAAAACCAAACCUGUGCUUGGGCCCCACCAUAGCUGUUCACCACAGCUGUCAGUAUAAAUCAAUGCACCUUGGUUCCAUUCUUCAUCAUUUGCUGGUAGCUAAAUUCUGAAAGCAGGCAGUCAGAAGUCAGCCGAUAGAACACCUUCCAUCCUCUGAGCAUGACCAGCAAAGCGGUUUCUUCUUGCAGACACUGCAUCAGCCCAGCUCAAAGUGCGUUCCAUUCUGAUGAACAUCCAC